This 324-nucleotide unclassified non-coding RNA is filed under the name soil metagenome. RNAcentral describes it as "partial contains 5.8S ribosomal RNA, internal transcribed spacer 2, and large subunit ribosomal RNA". The stretch from base 1 to 120 matches the Rfam family "5.8S ribosomal RNA", at positions 35 to 154 of the family's 154-position model. The record is from RNAcentral.
GAUGAAGAACGUAGCGAAAUGCGAUAAGUAGUGUGAAUUGCAGAAUUCAGUGAAUCAUCGAAUCUUUGAACGCACAUUGCGCCCCUUGGUAUUCCAUGGGGCAUGCCUGUUCGAGCGUCAUUUGUACCUUCAAGCUUUGCUUGGUGUUGGGUGUUUGUCCCUCGGGACUCGCCUUAAAGUCAUUGGCAGCCAGUGUUUUGGUUUUGAAGCGCAGCACAAGUCGCGAUUCAAGGCUAUCCGCCCGCUUCCACAAGCCUUUUUCACUUUUGACCUCGGAUCAGGUAGGGAUACCCGCUGAACUUAAGCAUAUCAAUAAGCGGAGGA